GAGUUUGAUCAUGGCUCAGAUUGAACGCUGGCGGCAUGCCUAACACAUGCAAGUCGAACGGGAGUAGCAAUACUCUAGUGGCGGACGGGUGAGGAAUACGUAGGAAUUUGCCCUUAAGUGGGGGAUAACCCGGGGAAACCCGGAUUAAUACCGCAUGAUCUCGAAAGAGCAAAGUGGGGGAUCGCAAGACCUCACGCUUUUGGAGAAGCCUACGUCGGAUUAGCUAGUUGGUGAGGUAAUGGCUCACCAAGGCGACGAUCCGUAACUGGUCUGAGAGGAUGAUCAGUCACACCGGAACUGAGACACGGUCCGGACUCCUACGGGAGGCAGCAGUGGGGAAUAUUGGACAAUGGGCGAAAGCCUGAUCCAGCAAUGCCGCGUGUGUGAAGAAGGCCUUCGGGUUGUAAAGCACUUUAAGUUGGGAAGAAAAAAUUCCACCUAAUACGUGGAGUCUUGACGGUACCGACAGAAUAAGCACCGGCUAACUCUGUGCCAGCAGCCGCGGUAAUACG
This 512-nucleotide ribosomal RNA is filed under the name uncultured eubacterium WR127. Its description in RNAcentral is "bacterial SSU rRNA". It matches the Rfam family "Bacterial small subunit ribosomal RNA", at positions 9 to 527 of the family's 1533-position model. The record is from RNAcentral. RNAcentral also lists the same sequence under 2 other names.